GUGCUAUACAUGCAAGUCGAGCGGACAGAUGGGAGCUUGCUCCCUGAUGUUAGCGGCGGACGGGUGAGUAACACGUGGGUAACCUGCCUGUAAGACUGGGAUAACUCCGGGAAACCGGGGCUAAUACCGGAUGGUUGUCUGAACCGCAUGGUUCAGACAUAAAAGGUGGCUUCGGCUACCACUUACAGAUGGACCCGCGGCGCAUUAGCUAGUUGGUGAGGUAACGGCUCACCAAGGCGACGAUGCGUAGCCGACCUGAGAGGGUGAUCGGCCACACUGGGACUGAGACACGGCCCAGACUCCUACGGGAGGCAGCAGUAGGGAAUCUUCCGCAAUGGACGAAAGUCUGACGGAGCAACGCCGCGUGAGUGAUGAAGGUUUUCGGAUCGUAAAGCUCUGUUGUUAGGGAAGAACAAGUGCCGUUCAAAUAGGGCGGCACCUUGACGGUACCUAACCAGAAAGCCACGGCUAACUACGUGCCAGCAGCCGCGGUAAUACGUAGGUGGCAAGCGUUGUCCGGAAUUAUUGGGCGUAAAGGGCUCGCAGGCGGUUUCUUAAGUCUGAUGUGAAAGCCCCCGGCUCAACCGGGGAGGGUCAUUGGAAACUGGGGAACUUGAGUGCAGAAGAGGAGAGUGGAAUU
Molecule: ribosomal RNA, 640 nt
Filed under: Bacillus subtilis
Lineage: Bacteria; Bacillati; Bacillota; Bacilli; Caryophanales; Bacillaceae
Description: bacterial SSU rRNA
Rfam family: Bacterial small subunit ribosomal RNA
Source: RNAcentral